GACGAACGCUGGCGGCGUGCUUAACACAUGCCAGUCGAACGGAAAGGCCCUGCUUUUGUGGGGUGCUCGAGUGGCGAACGGGUGAGUAACACGUGAGUAACCUGCCCUUGACUUUGGGAUAACUUCAGGAAACUGGGGCUAAUACCGGAUAGGAGCUCCUGCUGCAUGGUGGGGGUUGGAAAGUUUCGGCGGUUGGGGAUGGACUCGCGGCUUAUCAGCUUGUUGGUGGGGUAGUGGGUUACCAAGGCUUUGACGGGUAGCCGGCCUGAGAGGGUGAACGGCCACAGUGGGCCUGAGAUAGGGACCAGACUCGUACGGGACGCAGCAGUGGGGAAUAUUGCACAAUGGGCGGAAGCCUGAUGCAGAAACGCCGCGUGCGGGAUGACGGCCUUCGGGUUGUAAACCGCUGUCGCAUGUGACGAAGCGUGAGUGACGGUAAUGGGUAAAGAAGCACCGGCUAACUACGUG
This 468-nucleotide ribosomal RNA is filed under the name uncultured bacterium. RNAcentral describes it as "partial 16S ribosomal RNA". It matches the Rfam family "Bacterial small subunit ribosomal RNA", at positions 28 to 507 of the family's 1533-position model. The record is from RNAcentral.